Molecule: small nuclear RNA, 169 nt
Organism: Sorex fumeus (smoky shrew)
Lineage: Eukaryota; Metazoa; Chordata; Mammalia; Eulipotyphla; Soricidae
Product: U1 spliceosomal RNA
Exons: 1
Source: RefSeq, a predicted model, not a curated record
AUAGUUACCUGGAAGGGGAGAUACCAUGAUCACAAAGGUGGUUUUCCCAGGACAAGGCUUAUUUAUCCAUUGCACUCCAGAUGUGCUGACUGCUGCGAUUUCCCCAAAUGUGGGAAACUCGACUGCAUAAUUUGUGGUAGUGGGGGGACUAUGUUUGCGCUCUCCCCUG